AUUUCCCACAUUCCUUUCUGAGUCAGGUAGAAAUGUUUGAGGGCCAGUGGGACUGACAAUAGCUGUUCUAGGAGGUCAGACAGGAAGCGGAAAGGCAAGGCUGGCUGGUUUCUGGAGGAAAAGAAGCUGGUCCUCAGAGCCCUCCAGCCUCCUGGCGCUGCUAGGGGAACUAUCCCGUCGAAUUACUUAGAAUCGUAUCUCUACUGUGCCCUGCUGUUAAUUGCCAGCCCAGCCCCGAGCAGAACUCAGACCCACAGCUGAGAAUGGAGCUGUCUGUCUUUCUGACCCUCCUGAUUGUUUUGUUAUUGCUAAUGGGCUGAUUUCCAGUUACGUAACCUCCUCUCUGUUAGAUGAAAUCUCAUUUCACUGUGCUGUGCGCAUCGGGUCUGGUUCACGUUGAUCUACCUGAGAGGAGCUGGGAACAUGCUGUUUCUCAUCAUUUUCACCCAGCAAGAGAACUGGAGAGAGAGAGCUACACCCAAACCAAUUAUGGUCAGGCCCUCUGGGCUGUUACAUAAUAUUUCAGGAGACAGUGGAGUGAAGCGGACCUCGGCGUCCCAGAGGUAUUCUGCCAAGGCAGUGUGCUCUCCUUGCUUGGAAGUCUUGGAAGCCCCCUACCACCUCUGAGAAGAUUUUUCCAGACAAAACCCAGAUCUGCUUUAGUGACUUCAGAAGAAAGAGGUUUUUGAAGGAGGAUGAGAAGCCGAUAGCCAACGGUAUGUGUGUGAAAACACAUGGCAGAUGUGUGCUCUCCAGUGUUCUGUCUCAGCUGAUGGUCAGAGAGCCUUGGGCCACCUCCACCUCCUCCUCCUUCCUCUCACUGUCCUUCCACCAUGCCAUCUCUAUCAGUUCAGUUCCCAA
Molecule: long non-coding RNA, 861 nt
Filed under: Aotus nancymaae (Ma's night monkey)
Lineage: Eukaryota; Metazoa; Chordata; Mammalia; Primates; Aotidae
Description: lncRNA (ENSANAG00000038909.1)
Source: RNAcentral